UGGGGAAUAUUGCACAAUGGAGGGAACUCUGAUGCAGCAACGCCGCGUGAACGAAGAAGGCUUUCGAGUCGUAAAGUUCUUUUAUAUGGGAAGAUAAUGACGGUACCAUAAGAAAAAGCCCCGGCUAACUACGUGCCAGCAGCCGCGGUAAUACGUAGGGGGCUAGCGUUGUCCGGAAUCACUGGGCGUAAAGGGUUCGCAGGCGGAAAUGCAAGUCAGGUGUAAAAGGCAGUAGCUUAACUACUGUAAGCAUUUGAAACUGCAUAUCUUGAGAAGAGUAGAGGUAAGUGGAAUUUUUAGUGUAGCGGUGAAAUGCGUAGAUAUUAAAAAGAAUACCGGUGGCGAAGGCGACUUACUGGGCUCAUUCUGACGCUGAGGAACGAAAGCGUGGGUAGCAAACAGG
RNAcentral lists this ribosomal RNA (403 nucleotides) under bacterium. RNAcentral's name for it is "partial 16S ribosomal RNA". It matches the Rfam family "Bacterial small subunit ribosomal RNA", at positions 355 to 776 of the family's 1533-position model. The record is from RNAcentral.